RNAcentral lists this long non-coding RNA (331 nucleotides) under Hordeum vulgare. RNAcentral describes it as "long non-coding RNA (HVUL_LNC009429)". Lineage: Eukaryota; Viridiplantae; Streptophyta; Magnoliopsida; Poales; Poaceae. The record is from RNAcentral.
UCCCACUGAAAGAAAACACCGUUGAAAUAAUUGCUAGAAAAAAGAUAUUGCAUAGGUACAUUGAUUGAAGGGAUUGAAUGAAAAGAUGAAUCUUCUUAGAUUUCUUCACCACUCCGGAUGGAAUAGAGAGAGGUAAAAACACAAGAGAGUCUUGAAUGAGAAUUUCCGACAAGGGAAAGCAUUUACAAAUGAAAAGAUAUGAUGAGCAUCAAAAGGUUGAAUUGAAUCCACCGGAGCUGAAAACAAGAAUGAAGAAAGAUGAACUCAACACUCAUGAGAAUCUUCACAAUGAAUCACCGGAUAUAAUAUGGAAGAAAAGAAAACAAAAACA